CCGAGCCUGAGGCGCCGCGUGAGAGCCGGGCUGCUGCGGGGAGAGUGAGGCCGGGGCGCGGAGGGGGGCGGGGCCGCCUUGCCGUCACUCCUCCUCAGGCCCUAGCUGUAGCGCCCUUCUCCUCACCCCCGCCCCUCCUCCGCUCCCUGUCGGGUCUGCGGCACCUCUGCGCAGUGGGACCCGGCGGUCUCCGUCGGCCUCUCUCUGGGAGCGGCGUUGCGUUCCAAUGUGGAAUGAAGUUUGCUGGGGUCUCUCCGAAGGACCUGAAUUUAUAUUUGGAACUGAUAAAGAUCCUGAGCAGUGGGAAAUGUCCACAAAGUAGUUGCCAGUGGCUAAGAGAUGAUUAAAAAGAAAGGAUAUACUUCUUGGCAUGUAACCCUAUCUGUAGCUGAUUUAAUGGAAAGUAUUUUGAAGAACCUUAGGAGAGUACAUCCAGUUUCUACUGUAAGUAAGGUAGGAUGUUUAUGUUUGAAAAACCAUUUAACAUUAACAUAAAAUAGGGAUAAAAGAACAUUUGUGAGGAACAAUUACUUUUUGAGGUUGAUCUUGUGUCUUUUCCUAAAACCUAUUCUUUGUUGCUGCUAAAAUAGAGAAAGGGGUGGUGGUGGUGGUAGAGGGGCUUAUCUUUGUAGACCUUUGUCCUGGUAUUUAUUUCAUUCAAUUACAUAAAAGUUUAACUCUACAAAUAUCUGAUAAUAUUGGGAACCAUUGAGGGUAGAUCUUGCUCCAUUUUGAGUUGUUCCCUAAGAGUUCCAAUUAUGUCCAAUGGAGAGACCUAAGAAAGAAUCGCUAGUUACAAAAGUACUCCAAGUCUCCUGGAGAAGGGGAAGUUGAGGCCUGACGUAAAACUCUGAAUGUGACAGGUUAAAGCCAAAUGGACUCAUAUCAUUGGGAAUAAAGUAACUGAAAUUUUGAAGUGAUUCCCUGAU
Molecule: long non-coding RNA, 929 nt
Filed under: Canis lupus dingo (dingo)
Lineage: Eukaryota; Metazoa; Chordata; Mammalia; Carnivora; Canidae
Description: lncRNA (ENSCAFG00020018786.1)
Source: RNAcentral